GCUAGGAUCACAAGUGUGAGCCAUCAGCUGUAUUUAAAAAGCUUUUUACCCCUCUGGGUCUCUCAUAGUGUCCCAUGCCACAGCAAACUGUAGCUCUGAACCAUUGCCUCACCUCUGCCUGUGGCUGCUGGCACUGGAGUGAGUUGCAUGGUG
Molecule: small nucleolar RNA, 153 nt
Filed under: Castor canadensis (American beaver)
Lineage: Eukaryota; Metazoa; Chordata; Mammalia; Rodentia; Castoridae
Description: Small nucleolar RNA SNORA42/SNORA80 family (ENSCCNG00000030203.1)
Source: RNAcentral